This 1411-nucleotide long non-coding RNA is filed under the name Salvia miltiorrhiza (redroot sage). Its description in RNAcentral is "long non-coding RNA (SMIL_LNC000557)". The record is from RNAcentral. Lineage: Eukaryota; Viridiplantae; Streptophyta; Magnoliopsida; Lamiales; Lamiaceae.
ACAAAUCUCAAAUAGUAUAGAAUUUCAGAGUUUACAUAACCAAAAGAUAUAACAUGAAAUAACAUAAUAUGUUUUAAGAAACAUUUAUUUUAAAUAGAUUCGACGCGCCCAUUCGACUCUCCACGCGCCUCCAAUAUCAAUCACCUGAAACUGUUGAAUAUGGGAUGAGCAUACAGGGUACACUCAGUGUGGGAACAUGCAAUAAUUGUCCAUGUUAAUAAAAUGGUAACACAUAUUGUCAUAACGUAACAUAACUUCCAUACGCACUGUGGCAACUCCAAGGACUUUAAUGUCCCGGACCCUAUAUAUGGAUCCCUGGCGACAAUAUAAUGGUUGCAACCCUGUAACAUGAAAUCGCAUUGUGGCAUACCAAGGACGGUGAAGUCCUGGACCAAUUAUGCUGGCCCCUAGCGAUAAAUAUUUUUACAACACAUACGGUAAACACAUAAUAUUAAAAUGGACAAAUAUCAACCACGUGCAUGUACUGAAAUAAAUCCCACACCUGAAAAUAUGGAUUUGAUAGAUAACUUGAAAAAUUUCAGAUCAACAGUUAUGUCCUAGUCGCGCCGCACCUAGUCAGAUAAAUUCAAAUAAUAAAAAUAAUAAGGGUCUAAAUAGUAACUUAAAAAAAUAAAUUAAAAAUAAGAAAAUUUACAUAAAACCUUUAAAAUCAUUAAUCUUAUUAAUAAAAUAUUUAAAGGCAUGGUUUUAUAGUUCAAAUCUCAAUUUAAAAUCAAACUCAAUUUAAUCAAUAAAAUUAGCCCAAUUAUUAGAAGUCAAAUUUUAGCUCAUUAAUGAAUUUAAACUUAAGCCCAUACUUAAAGCCCAACAUCUCUCUAUCUCCCUCUUAAAUCCCUCUCUGCACUCACUAUUCUACAAACACACGCACACUCUCACACACAUACUCACACACCAGCGCACCCUCCUCUCUCUCCCUCGUCUUCCGCCGCCGCCGCCCGACAGCGGCGCCGCCCGACCGUCUCCCUCUCCUUCCCACGCAUCCUUUUCCCCUCUCCCCUGACCCCUUUCUUCCCAGCCUUCCUCUCUCCCCCAACCUCUCUCUCCGUCGUGGCCAGACAGCCAUCUGACGCCGGCCCCCUGCUCCGGCGAGCAGCCAGCCGCUGCCGCCUCUACUCCCGCCGUCAACAGCGCAGCUGUAGCGCCGCUGGGACAGCAGCACCGCAGCAGCCACCAGACGCCCUCUCUUCCUCUUCUAUUUCUAUUUCCCCUUUUUCAUGUAUUUAGCAGUAUAUAUAAAAUUACAGAAAAAUAGAUGUAUGCAUGAUUGGAUUUUUGAAAACAAAGUUUUUGAAAUGAAAUAACUUUACAAAAGUUAUUAAAAUUACCGAUUGAUGAUGUGCAGUGAGAAAUGGCAGAUUUGAGUUAUUUUGUGAAAAGAGCAAAUGGAGAA